Molecule: ribosomal RNA, 497 nt
Filed under: uncultured bacterium
Lineage: Bacteria
Description: partial 16S ribosomal RNA
Rfam family: Bacterial small subunit ribosomal RNA
Source: RNAcentral
GAUGAACGCUGGCGGCGUGCCUAAUACAUGCAAGUCGAGCGAACAGACGAGGAGCUUGCUCCUCUGACGUUAGCGGCGGACGGGUGAGUAACACGUGGAUAACCUACCUAUAAGACUGGGAUAACUUCGGGAAACCGGAGCUAAUACCGGAUAAUAUAUUGAACCGCAUGGUUCAAUAGUGAAAGACGGUUUUGCUGUCACUUAUAGAUGGAUCCGCGCCGCAUUAGCUAGUUGGUAAGGUAACGGCUUACCAAGGCAACGAUGCGUAGCCGACCUGGGAGGGUGAUCGGCCACACUGGAACUGAGACACGGUCCAGACUCCUACGGGAGGCAGUAGUAGGGAAUCUUCCGCAAUGGGCGAAAGCCUGACGGAGCAACGCCGCGUGAGUGAUGAAGGUCUUCGGAUCGUAAAACUCUGUUAUUAGGGAAGAACAAAUGUGUAAGUAACUAUGCACGUCUUGACGGUACCUAAUCAGAAAGCCACGGCUAACUACGUG